This 383-nucleotide ribosomal RNA is filed under the name Meloidogyne enterolobii. RNAcentral describes it as "partial 16S large subunit ribosomal RNA". Lineage: Eukaryota; Metazoa; Nematoda; Chromadorea; Rhabditida; Meloidogynidae. The record is from RNAcentral.
AUUAUUUUAAGAUUAUUUUUUAUUGUUGAAAAAAUUAAAAAUAAAUUGUUUUUAACAAAAAUUAAAAUUUAUAAUAUUUCAUUUUUUGGUUUUUUGUUUUAAAUUAAAAUAAUAAAUAUGGGGGAAAAAAAAUUUUUGUUAUAAAUUAUAUUAGUUUAUUUUAAUUAAAAAUAUUUUUUAUUAAAUUUGUUUUUUUUAUUUUUUUAUAAAAAAUAUUAAUUUAAUUAUUAUUAUUGAGUUUAAUUUAGUUAUUUUUAAAAAAAUUUUGUAUAAAAUAAAUUUGAUAAUAAAUGUUUUUUAAAUUCUUUGGGGGUUUAGUUUAUGAUUUUUUGUUUCUGCUCAUUGUUAAAUAAAAGCACUUUUAGCGUGAUUGGUCAAAGGUA